This 434-nucleotide ribosomal RNA is filed under the name uncultured bacterium. Its description in RNAcentral is "partial 16S ribosomal RNA". It matches the Rfam family "Bacterial small subunit ribosomal RNA", at positions 29 to 507 of the family's 1533-position model. The record is from RNAcentral.
AGCGAACGCUGGCGGCAGGCCUAACACAUGCAAGUCGAACGAACCUUUCGGGGUUAGUGGCGGACGGGUGAGUAACACGUGGGAACGUGCCUUUAGGUUCGGAAUAACUCAGGGAAACUUGUGCUAAUACCGAAUGUGCCCUUCGGGGGAAAGAUUUAUCGCCUUUAGAGCGGCCCGCGUCUGAUUAGCUAGUUGGUUGAGGUAAUGGCUCACCAAGGCGACGAUCAGUAGCUGGUCUGAGAGGAUGAUCAGCCACAUUGGGACUGAGACACGGCCCAAACUCCUACGGGAGGCAGCAGUGGGGAAUCUUGCGCAAUGGGCGAAAGCCUGACGCAGCCAUGCCGCGUGAAUGAUGAAGGUCUUAGGAUUGUAAAAUUCUUUCACCGGGGACGACAAUGACGGUACCCGGAGAAGAAGCCCCGGCUAACUUCGUG